Long non-coding RNA from Hippocampus comes (tiger tail seahorse), 620 nucleotides. RefSeq lists it as uncharacterized. NCBI's taxonomy places the organism in Eukaryota, Metazoa, Chordata, Actinopteri, Syngnathiformes, Syngnathidae. The record is from RefSeq and is a predicted model, not a curated record. The transcript is spliced from 6 exons.
AAACCUCGGAGUACUGAGAGGAGGAGAACGAGCCAAAUAUCUUGUUUGUGCCCUUCACGCGUCCUUGCUCCGUCUUUUCAAAGCUGGACACCCGGUCGACAUUAAACCGAGACCACGCUGGCUUCAAGGACGCGUUGUUUUGAGGCAUGCGGCUCCUUCCGGAGGCAAACGAGCGGCGGUGUCCCUGGCGCAAUCUCUCAGCGUGGCCUUUUGAGAGGAAAGGUCAUAUCGGCGUCGGCGACAAGGUCGAGACAACGAUGAGUGAAAGAUCGAGAUCACAAGCAAGUCGAUCCAACGAGCAGUUCCGGAGUUCACUUUGCAGCACUUUCAGGUGUUGCUCCAGAACAAUUAUGGCAGACGUCCUGUUGAAUUUCGAGCGUGUCUUGAGACGCAGCGGGCUUUAUCCGCAGCACCUUCUGUUCCAUUGUGUCGGCGCGGCGGCGGCGGCCUCAUCAAAGCCAGACUAAAAGGGCGACGGGAAGAGUUCAGCGGCGAGUACAAAAGAGGUGACGCGUUCCCGCCUGACACCCACGACUAGUCGCGCUUUCUUUAAUUCAAUAGAAAAACUGAAUCGUGACACAUUAAAAGAGACGUAUGCAAAUUGUUCACAAUUUUUAAAG